RNAcentral lists this ribosomal RNA (1131 nucleotides) under Micromonospora chokoriensis. RNAcentral describes it as "bacterial SSU rRNA". It matches the Rfam family "Bacterial small subunit ribosomal RNA". Lineage: Bacteria; Bacillati; Actinomycetota; Actinomycetes; Micromonosporales; Micromonosporaceae. The record is from RNAcentral.
UAGACCAGGCCAGUCCUACGAGCAGACUGAUUGCCAUGAGCGAGCUGAUAGCAGCGACGUCGCUGAAGAUGACGGCUUCGGUGUAGCUCAUCAGCAGGACGAGCGAGGAGUGACGUAACUGCAGAAGGAGCACGACACUACGUGCCAGCAGCCGCGGUAAGACGUAGGAUGCGAGCGUGUCCGGAUUAUUGGGCGUAAAGAGCUCGUAGGCGGCUUGUCGCGUCGACCGUGAAAACUUGGGGCUCAACCCCAAGCCUGCGGUCGAUACGGGCAGGCUAGAGUUCGGUAGGGGAGACUGGAAUUCCUGGUGUAGCGGUGAAAUGCGCAGAUAUCAGGAGGAACACCGGUGGCGAAGGCGGGUCUCUGGGCCGAUACUGACGCUGAGGAGCGAAAGCGUGGGGAGCGAACAGGAUUAGAUACCCUGGUAGUCCACGCUGUAAACGUUGGGCGCUAGGUGUGGGGGGCCUCUCCGGUUCCCUGUGCCGCAGCUAACGCAUUAAGCGCCCCGCCUGGGGAGUACGGCCGCAAGGCUAAAACUCAAAGGAAUUGACGGGGGCCCGCACAAGCGGCGGAGCAUGCGGAUUAAUUCGAUGCAACGCGAAGAACCUUACCUGGGUUUGACAUGGCCGCAAAACCUCCAGAGAUGGGGGGUCCUUCGGGGGCGGUCACAGGUGGUGCAUGGCUGUCGUCAGCUCGUGUCGUGAGAUGUUGGGUUAAGUCCCGCAACGAGCGCAACCCUCGUUCGAUGUUGCCAGCGCGUUAUGGCGGGGACUCAUCGAAGACUGCCGGGGUCAACUCGGAGGAAGGUGGGGAUGACGUCAAGUCAUCAUGCCCCUUAUGUCCAGGGCUUCACGCAUGCUACAAUGGCCGGUACAAUGGGCUGCGAUACCGUGAGGUGGAGCGAAUCCCAAAAAGCCGGUCUCAGUUCGGAUCGGGGUCUGCAACUCGACCCCGUGAAGUCGGAGUCGCUAGUAAUCGCAGAUCAGCAACGCUGCGGUGAAUACGUUCCCGGGCCUUGUACACACCGCCCGUCACGUCACGAAAGUCGGCAACACCCGAAGCCGGUGGCCCAACCCUUGUGGAGGGAGCCGUCGAAGGUGGGGCUGGCGAUUGGGACGAAGUCGAACAGAU